RNAcentral lists this ribosomal RNA (936 nucleotides) under uncultured bacterium. RNAcentral describes it as "bacterial SSU rRNA". It matches the Rfam family "Bacterial small subunit ribosomal RNA", at positions 8 to 916 of the family's 1533-position model. The record is from RNAcentral.
AGAGUUUGAUCCUGGCUCAGAACGAACGCUUGCGGCGUGCUUAACACAUGCAAGUCGAACGAGAAAGGGACUUCGGUCCUGAGUAAAGUGGCGCACGGGUGAGUAACGCGUAGGUAAUCUACCCCUGUGUUCGGGACAACAUCGGGAAACUGGUGCUAAUACCGGAUACGUUUCACGGAUUGCGAGAUAAGUGAAGGAAAGGUGGCGUCCCUUCGGGGAGCUAUUGCACGGGGAUGAGCCUGCGUACCAUUAGCUAGUUGGUGGGGUAAGAGCCUACCAAGGCGACGAUGGUUAGCGGGUCUGAGAGGAUGAUCCGCCACACUGGAACUGGAACACGGUCCAGACUCCUACGGGAGGCAGCAGUGAGGAAUUUUGCACAAUGGGGGAAACCCUGAUGCAGCGACGCCGCGUGAGUGAUGAAGGUCUUCGGAUCGUAAAGCUCUGUCAGCAGGGAAGAAAUAUGCGAUGGCUAAUAUCCAUUGUAUUUGACGGUACCUGCAAAGGAAGCACCGGCUAACUCUGUGCCAGCAGCCGCGGUAAUACAGAGGGUGCGAGCGUUGUUCGGAUUUACUGGGCGUAAAGGGCGCGUAGGCGGUUUUAUAAGCCAGAUGUGAAAGCCCACGGCUCAACCGUGGAAGUGCAUCUGGAACUGUAAGACUUGAGUACUGGAGGGGAGUGUGGAAUUCCCGGUGUAGAGGUGAAAUUCGUAGAUAUCGGGAGGAAUACCGGUGGCGAAGGCGACACUCUGGACAGAUACUGACGCUGAGGCGCGAAAGCGUGGGGAGCAAACAGGAUUAGAUACCCUGGUAGUCCACAGCUGUAAACGAUGUGCACUAGGUGUGGGGGGUCGUUGACCCUUCCCGUGCCGUAGCUAACGCGAUAAGUGCACCGCCUGGGGAGUACGGUCGCAAGAUUAAAACUCAAAGGAAUUGACGG